RNAcentral lists this non-coding RNA (47 nucleotides) under uncultured Bacteroides sp. Lineage: Bacteria; Pseudomonadati; Bacteroidota; Bacteroidia; Bacteroidales; Bacteroidaceae. The record is from RNAcentral.
GUUGUAAUUUGCUUUCAUUUUAGUAUCUUUGAACCAUUGGAAACAGC